GAUCCUGACUCAGGACGAACGCUGGCGGCGCGCCUAACACAUGCAAGUCGAACGAGCGAGAGAGAGCUUGCUUUCUCGAGCGAGUGGCGAACGGGUGAGUAACGCGUGAGGAACCUGCCUCAAAGAGGGGGACAACAGUUGGAAACGACUGCUAAUACCGCAUAAGCCCACGGCUCGGCAUCGAGCAGGGGAAAGGAGCAAUCCGCUUUGAGAUGGCCUCGCGUCCGAUUAG
RNAcentral lists this ribosomal RNA (232 nucleotides) under uncultured bacterium. RNAcentral describes it as "partial 16S ribosomal RNA". It matches the Rfam family "Bacterial small subunit ribosomal RNA", at positions 15 to 244 of the family's 1533-position model. The record is from RNAcentral.